Molecule: non-coding RNA, 256 nt
Filed under: Desulfocicer vacuolatum
Lineage: Bacteria; Pseudomonadati; Thermodesulfobacteriota; Desulfobacteria; Desulfobacterales; Desulfobacteraceae
Also listed under: 1 other name
Source: RNAcentral
CACGGCUUUUUUGUUCUGGAUUUUUGAACAGGGAACCCCGUGAAACUCGGGGACGGGCCCGCCGCUGUAAUCCUUUUUUCCAUUAUGUUCAAUGGGAAAAUCGCUUCGGCAUGAAAUGCCACUGUUUUGUGUUUUUAUGCAUAUUUGAGCUGUCUCCUGUACCUGUGGCGACUGCAAAAAACAAUAAAAACACAAAAUGGGAAGGCUGCUGAAGGGGACGGAAAGUCAGAAGACCUGCCCAGACAAAUAAAGCUGU